AGCGAACGCUGGCGGCAGGCCUAACACAUGCAAGUCGAACGGAUCCUUCGGGAUUUGUGGCGGAUGGGUGAGUAACACGUGGGAACGUGCCCUUUGGUUCGGAACAACUCAGGGACACUUGUGCUAAUACCGGACGUGCCCUUCGGGGGAAAGAUUUAUCGACCUUGGAGCGGCACGCGUCGGAUUAGCUAGUUGGUGAGGUUACGGCCCACCAAGGCGACGAUCAGUAGCUGGUUUGAGAGGAUGAUCAGCCACACUGGGACUGAGACACGGCCUAGACUCCUACGGGAGGCAGCAGUGGGGAAUCUUGCGCAAUGGGCGAAAGCCUGACGCAGCCAUGCCGCGUGAAUGAUGAAGGUCUUAGGAUUGUAAAAUUCUUUCAGCGGGGACGAUAAUGACGGUACCCGCAGAAGAAGCUCCGGCUAACUUCGUG
RNAcentral lists this ribosomal RNA (433 nucleotides) under uncultured bacterium. RNAcentral describes it as "partial 16S ribosomal RNA". It matches the Rfam family "Bacterial small subunit ribosomal RNA", at positions 29 to 507 of the family's 1533-position model. The record is from RNAcentral.